AGUUUAAAUAGUGUAAUUUAACACUUAACAUUUUCAUUGUUAUAAUCCAUAAGGUUUAAACUA
Molecule: transfer RNA, 63 nt
Filed under: Haemaphysalis inermis
Lineage: Eukaryota; Metazoa; Arthropoda; Arachnida; Ixodida; Ixodidae
Description: tRNA-Glu
Source: RNAcentral